Molecule: ribosomal RNA, 301 nt
Filed under: uncultured bacterium
Lineage: Bacteria
Description: partial 16S ribosomal RNA
Rfam family: Bacterial small subunit ribosomal RNA
Source: RNAcentral
CAGUAGCCGCGGGAAUACAGAGGAUGCAAGCGUUAUCCGGAAUGAUUGGGCGUAAAGCGUCUGUAGGUGGCUUUUCAAGUCCGCCGUCAAAUCCCAGGGCUCAACCCUGGACAGGCGGUGGAAACUACCAGGCUGGAGUACGGUAGGGGCAGAGGGAAUUUCCGGUGGAGCGGUGAAAUGCGUUGAGAUCGGAAAGGACACCAACGGCGAAAGCACUCUGCUGGGCCGACAUUGACACUGAGAGACGAGAGCUAGGGGAGCAAAUGGGAUUAGAUACCCGCGUAGUCCCUGUCUCUUAUAC